CUCAGGGCGGUGCCCGGCCCGCCUGCCGCCAUCCGCCUGCGCGGCACUACCGUAAAACGAUGAAGGUAAUCGCGCUGAUAACGAUUAUGAACAACGGUAGCCCUCUUCACAGCGACUGCUUUUAACAAGGUUGAGAAAGGCAGGAUUUCACUGGUACAGUCAUAAAAACAAGGAUUGAAGUUGAGAAGCAUGUGAUGAAUUCGGUCUCAUUUUAAAUGCAAUUAAUAGAAGACAUCCUGUACAACAAACGACUUUAUUUUAACAUUUUACCUUUUAAACGUGCUGCUUGUAAAAACUGUUCCCCAAAACACGGGACUCUGGAGAAAAGCAGCUCUCAUUUUCUCUACAUCUCCAUAAAAGAGAGAGCUGCCAAAUUAGGUUUGGGAAUAUAAGAUCAAGGUUUACAUAAUGAAGAGUACAGCAGACACCAGCAGGCGUGGAAAACAAACCAGCAGGCACCAGCCUUGCUUCUCCACGCUCCUACAUGUUGCUUUCUUGUGACUACUUAUUUGUGUUCUCCUUUAGAUCUUUAAAAAUAACAAAAGCCCACCAUCUGUCAGAGCAGCAGUACCGGUUCACCUCUGAAGCAAUGAAACCUGGAAGAUUCCUCCAUUGGAGAUUUCCCCAGGUACCUCCAUGGCAAAAGGCGCAAGUGGUUCAAGUUGCUCCUCUGCUACCUCCCCAGCUUUCAUUUACUCUUUCCACCCAGUGUGGCAAACAUUACUUCAGGGUUCAUCAGCUGUUAGGCAAUGCUUUGAGCUGUGCUUUGUUCUCUACUUAGUUCAAUCAGUACUGAAAAACUGUUUUUCGCAGCUCUACCUAAGCACCAAAAGGAACUGAGGCAAUGUGGCAGAAAACAGGGCAGCGGUGGUAGAGGGAACAAAAAUAAAAAGGAAGGUCUACAUAGCAGUGAGUUCAUGAGUUCAUGAAGGUACAAAAAUAUAUUAAAAUCUAGCCAAGAAUGCUAGCCUUUAUUCAUUUGUUCUCCUGAAGUGUGUAAAAGUAAUAGUUUCUUUUUCCGAUAUUCUUCAUUCUCCUGCUCUGCUUCCUCAUCCAGUGAUCUUCUUACACAUGCUUUUAGUUCCUCAAUUCCUUCUCCAGUAUAUGUAGAUAUAGGAAUUAUCUCUCUGAAAUCAACUGUGUUCUCAGGAAUCACUUCUUCCUCUAGUAAGUGUAAGAAGUCUUCAGGAUUCUGUAGUUGUUUCAUAAGUUCAUUCAGGUUAUCUUUUGCACAAGGCAAAUCCAUUUUAUUAAUGGCAAGAAGUGCAGGCUUUGUUAGAAGUUCUUCAUUGUACAGCUCCAAUUCCUUUGUUAGAAGCAAUACUGUUUCAAAGGCUGUUCUGAACUGAGUCUUAUUAGAGAGCUGAAACCCAGAAAUAUCAACGACUAAGAGGAGGUGUUUGGUUCUUUCCACAUGUUUGAGAAAUUUGUGCCCCCUCCCCUUGUUC
Molecule: long non-coding RNA, 1448 nt
Filed under: Gallus gallus (chicken)
Lineage: Eukaryota; Metazoa; Chordata; Aves; Galliformes; Phasianidae
Source: RNAcentral